This is a long non-coding RNA of Cryptomeria japonica (Japanese cedar), 1979 nucleotides long. RefSeq lists it as uncharacterized. The record is from RefSeq and is a predicted model, not a curated record. Lineage: Eukaryota; Viridiplantae; Streptophyta; Pinopsida; Cupressales; Cupressaceae. The transcript has 2 exons.
UUUCACCCCGUUUUAUAUCUAAGAAAUUGUUCGUUAUCCUCGCAUUCAUAGGGAAGUGGUGCCCUCGCAGUGAAAUUAUUUUUGGGUUUAGGGUUUCUCAAGAAUUAGGGUUCCGGUCAUGUCGAGAAUUUCGGUUUUUAUGGAUAAGCUUGUGGCCUUGAUAGAACGAAAGCCGGCUUCAAUAUCCACAACAAUCAAUUUUUCUCUCUGAUUAGUUUUUACUUCAAUGAUUUUUCUUAGGAAAUUCUUUACGAUUUUUUGAUAAAGAAUUUGCUUUAUUGGCUGUAGCUUUGGAUUGUCUUAAUGAUGGUUUUGGUGGGUAAACACCAACACAGCUAAUCCAGAAUUUCUGAUAUAUUCUAAUCCUUUGGAAUUGUUGGUACUCGGAAUUUUACUGAAAUGAGCAUUCCUGUGAUGAUGGUAACUACUGAUACUUUUAAAAGAUCGUUCCAAUUACUGAAUAUCAAUGUGGAACUGAAGAGACAUCUGAGGAACAAAUAACUAUAAGUUUUCAUUGUGUCUGAUGAUAUGCCUUCAUCGUGCUUUCUAAUUUGAGGGUUUUUUCUAGCUGUUUUUAUAUCUUUAUAUUUCCUCGACAAACAAUAGUUCCUAAUUCUGGUUAUGGCAUUACAGAAGUGGUUGCGUAGAAUUUGUUGUAAUUGUUUUAUUUUCUACAAAUAUGCAUUUGUCUAUUUCUUUAUAUAUCCUUCUAAGCAUGACAGUUUAUUUCAUUAGUUAGAAGAUUAUUUAAUCGUAAUCAUCCCUCACAAAAAUGCAUGCUUUAGCUGAAAUCUCUUUACCCCUUUUCUAAGGUGAGUUUGCAGUGAUGUAUAUUUAGGCAUGAACCCUGAUUUAUAUAGCAGAUGUUACAGCGUCUUAUCAAAAACAGUCUUACAACCAAACUUAGGGUUUGUUUUCUAUAAUCUCCCAUAGUUAAAGUGGCGUUCAAGUCCACCUGAGUUACCAGGAAGUUCUAGUAAUUCCCUCUUGUAAUCUGGAUGCCAAUACAUUUCCGUCAUUUACCUAUUUAAAGGUAAACUCUUCCCAUUUGAAGGAAUUAUUCGGUCUUUCAUCCUGGUGCUGUAAUCAUUUAUUCAAACUGCGAAAAUAUCAAGGUGCACUUUCUCUGGAUUUGCUAAAUCAAAGGUAAUGACAUCUCAAUUAUGAAAUUCUGUUGAUGCAGAAUUUCAGGCUUAAGAUUUCCUCAUUUUUGGGCACUUCUUAUCGUCGUGUAGAAUUAUUAAAUUGCAUUUUUUCAUUAUCUGAUAUAUCAAUUGUGAAAGGGGCUGUUCGGUUACCAAUUUCUAGUGAAGCAGCGUUACAUGCUUAAGAUUGCCAUCAUACAUCUCUUCCCAGUUACAACAUUUAUCCAAAGCGUUUCAAUUAUGAGGUCACCGUCGGAUUAUGUUCCUUCUGUUCUCAGCACUGAUUCUAGAUGAGUAAGUAUUUGAGCAUAUUAUGUUUUUUGUGUAGUUUUAAUUCUUUCUUUAUUUUCAGUUAAUGGUCAUUCAAAGGCAAGGUCUUACUUUAGAUGCUCUUAUAGUAUAACGAUCCUAAUGUGGAUGAAAUCCCGGCGCUUAUUCAAUCAGCAUGUUUUACCGCCCCAGGUAAUAUAUAUUCCCAUUUUUAGUCGAAAGGUAAUGCUAUCACACAGGAAGUUAAAAUGUUGAGGAAUGUUUCAUUUGAUGAUGUUGCUUUUAUGUCAUCUAACAAUUUUACAUGAACUUAUAAUUUGGUAUUUGACAGACGUGCUGUUCUUAGAGAUCUGAAGUUCUUAGAAGCAGUAUCUCUAAGAUUGUUGAGGCAGUUGUGUUCUUCAGAACUACUUUUGAAAUGCAUUUAAAAUUGGUUACAAAUAUAUGCAAUAUCUGUGAAUUAAUUGCACAAAACGAUUCUUAAUUGCGUGAAAGUGAAGGGUGCAUAUGAGAACAAAGACAAUGGAUUGCAUACAUAAAUUUAUCACUUUUGGUGAAGCUUAA